This is a long non-coding RNA of Erigeron canadensis, 232 nucleotides long. RefSeq lists it as uncharacterized. NCBI's taxonomy places the organism in Eukaryota, Viridiplantae, Streptophyta, Magnoliopsida, Asterales, Asteraceae. The record is from RefSeq and is a predicted model, not a curated record. The transcript has 2 exons.
UUUGUGUUGGGUUUCGCGUUGAUCAUUGAAGAUGGUCAAUAUUACACUAAACCCAAAAAAAAUAAAAAAUAAAAAAACGACACAGAAACAGAUGGAUGAAUUUCGUAAGAAAAUAAGAUCUUGUAAUCAGGGAGCGCAUAUAUCGAAUGAUGAUGCUGAUGAUGAUCAAAACAGAAUCUACUACUAGAGGUAGAUCACUGGUGGAAAAGGAUCAAGAGGUUUGAUAUAUUCA